Paramuricea clavata is the source of this 260-nucleotide non-coding RNA. The record is from the annotation of a GenBank genome assembly. NCBI's taxonomy places the organism in Eukaryota, Metazoa, Cnidaria, Anthozoa, Malacalcyonacea, Plexauridae.
UGUAAACAACGCAUUGAUGAUUCAGAAGGGGCGGCUUCAGUUCCUGUACUUUAACAUCAUCGCGAACCUUUCUGCUUGUGAAAACCGGUCGUAGAGCUUUCCCUAUCAACGAUCCAAGACCCGUGAGUUGUCUUCGCACAAUAUCGGCCGAUUUUUUAUCUUUAAACGGCAAGAUAAGGCACACCGCGUUUUCUUGCUGUUUCGUUGAUGUUUCCUUCACUUCCUCGUCCUGCUUGUCGACAAACCCCGAUAUUACCGAA